RNAcentral lists this ribosomal RNA (225 nucleotides) under Triticum aestivum (bread wheat). RNAcentral's name for it is "partial small subunit ribosomal RNA". The record is from RNAcentral. Lineage: Eukaryota; Viridiplantae; Streptophyta; Magnoliopsida; Poales; Poaceae.
AUGACCGAAGUUCCAUGAGGAUAUAUAGCCCAGAGAUGACGAACAAAAAUGUGUUCAUUUGCCUCAAACUUUAGAGGCGCUCAUUUAAGACUUAAUCGAAUGAUUACCAACAGGUAAAAAGAGCUUUUGUUUCCUCUCAUCAAGAGGGACAUCAUCCGCCCAAGGGGUGAUUCCUCUCAUCAAGAGGGACAUCAUCCGCCCAAGCAUCACCCCUGCAAGGACUAA